This 212-nucleotide unclassified non-coding RNA is filed under the name Glomeraceae sp. RNAcentral describes it as "partial contains 5.8S ribosomal RNA and internal transcribed spacer 2". The stretch from base 1 to 71 matches the Rfam family "5.8S ribosomal RNA", at positions 84 to 154 of the family's 154-position model. The record is from RNAcentral. Lineage: Eukaryota; Fungi; Glomeromycota; Glomeromycetes; Glomerales; Glomeraceae.
GUGAAUCAUCAAAUUUUUGAACGCAAAUUGCACUCUCUGGUAUUCCGGAGAGUAUGCCUGUUUGAGGGUCAGUUUAAAUUAAAAUCGGGGUGGUUGCCGGCUUUCGUGGUUACGCACCGGAUUUGGGUCGGCCUGGCUUUGGGUAAGGGACCUAAAAUUUUGCAAGGUUUUUUUCGAACGUAUUUAAAUGAUUUUUAGGACGUUUGCGAUUU